UCCCAGGCGUCGAGCGGCGGACGGGUGAGUAACACUUAGGAAUCUACCUAGUAGUGGGGGAUAGCUCGGGGAAACUCGAAUUAAUACCGCAUACGACCUACGGGAGAAAGGGGGCAGUUUACUGCUCUCGCUAUUAGAUGAGCCUAAGUCGGAUUAGCUAGAUGGUGGGGUAAAGGCCUACCAUGGCGACGAUCUGUAGCUGGUCUGAGAGGAUGAUCAGCCACACCGGGACUGAGACACGGCCCGGACUCCUACGGGAGGCAGCAGUGGGGAAUAUUGGACAAUGGGGGGAACCCUGAUCCAGCCAUGCCGCGUGUGUGAAGAAGGCCUUUUGGUUGUAAAGCACUUUAAGCAGUGAAGAAGACCUAACGGUUAAUACCCGUUAGCGAUGACAUUAGCUGCAGAAUAAGCACCGGCUAACUCUGUGCCAGCAGCCGCGGUAAUACAGAGGGUGCAAGCGUUAAUCGGAAUUACUGGGCGUAAAGCGAGCGUAGGUGGCUUGAUAAGUCAGAUGUGAAAUCCCCGGGCUUAACCUGGGAACUGCAUCUGAUACUGUUAAGCUAGAGUAGGUGAGAGGGAAGUAGAAUUCCAGGUGUAGCGGUGAAAUGCGUAGAGAUCUGGAGGAAUACCGAUGGCGAAGGCAGCUUCCUGGCAUCAUACUGACACUGAGGCUCGAAAGCGUGGGG
This 686-nucleotide ribosomal RNA is filed under the name bacterium VI.16. RNAcentral's name for it is "bacterial SSU rRNA". It matches the Rfam family "Bacterial small subunit ribosomal RNA", at positions 82 to 766 of the family's 1533-position model. The record is from RNAcentral.